Long non-coding RNA from Poeciliopsis prolifica (blackstripe livebearer), 1457 nucleotides. RefSeq lists it as uncharacterized. NCBI's taxonomy places the organism in Eukaryota, Metazoa, Chordata, Actinopteri, Cyprinodontiformes, Poeciliidae. The record is from RefSeq and is a predicted model, not a curated record. The transcript is spliced from 3 exons.
UAAUUUUUCUUUGCCAUAUGACUUUUCAACGUUAAAGUAUUUUCUUGGUUGAAAUUUUCUGACUUUUUUAUGGAAAUGUUUUCUUCCUUCUUGCCAGUAAAUGGAUCUCUGGAUGCGGCCAGAUUCCCCGUCAGUGUUUUUGUUUUCCUGCUGUCGGACGGCCGUCGGCUGCAGACGGAACAUGCGCCGCUUUUUGUCGCGGCCGCUCAGCCCUGCUGUCCGUCAGCGCCGGGCCCGACGGAACCGAGCCCGACGGAACCGAGCCACGGAUCGCUGCCUGGAAGACGGAGCAGACGAGGGACUGAGAGCGGCUCACGUCUUCCUCACCGUAGGAUGAGUCAUCCUCGGCACUGCGCUGUGAAUGAAGCGGGACGGGGAGGGGACGCCUGCAGGGAGGAGGAGAAGAGUUUCUGUCAAUGAGAGAGGGAGGAGGAAUGGAGGGAUGAUGAUGUCAGAGGGAGAGAUGAGUGGAUGUGAUGAGGAAACAGCUGGUGGAGGAGAACAAUUCAACCAAUCAGAUCCAAACAGGGAGGAGGAAAGGAAAGAAGGAAGAGAAUUAGGACACAAUGAGGGUCAGAACAGAGGUAAGGAAGGAAGGGAGCGAGGAGAGAAUUAGGAUACAAUGAAGGAAGAAAAAACAAGGAAAGGACCACAAAAAUAAAAAACAGAGUGAAGGAAGGAAAGACAAAGAAGAGAAUUAGGACACAAGGAAGGAAGGAGGAAAAUCAAGGAAAGAAGGACACAGAAAAGGGAGAGAACAGAGGAAAUGAAGAAAAGGAGGAAGGAUACAGAGGAGGGACAAAAUGAAGGAAGGGAAAUAAGGAUGGAAGGAAAAACAAUUAGGACACAAAUUCCUUACCUUCUUUCCAGAGGUAAGGAAGGUAGGACACAAAGAAGGAAAGGGACAAAACAAAAGGAGGGAGUAAGGAUGCAAAGGGAGGAAUGAGGGAAGGAAGAGAAUUAGGACACAAUAAGGAUGAGAACUGAGGUAAGAAAUAAAGGAUGGAGAGAAGGAAACAGUCAAAAAGAAGGAUGCAAGGAACAGAUGAAGUUAGGACACAGUGAAGGAGAGAACAAGAGGAAGGAAGGAGUUGGGACACCAUGGAGGCGAGGACAGAAGGAAGGAAGAGAGCGGCUGUAAUAUACCAUCUUAUCUUUAAAGCUGUCUGUGCGUUUAGAGGUCAAAGAUCAGCAUCACAGGGUUACAUCCUCCGCUCUGAUUGGAAAAGACGAGUUAGACGGAUGUACACUUCACCUCCGCUGUGAAGGUCGGAGGAGGCGUGGCGCGUGAUCCUCCGUCAUUUAAGGCAGAGCUGCUCAUCCACGACCUCUGCAGAGGUCACCGCCGCAGUCCCAGAAGCCCCCAGGCCUCUGAAGGAGCAUCGAUCACCACCAGCCUCUGUUCUCACACCCAGAUGCUGUGAGGACAGGAUGCACAGGAUGCGGCCACCGCUUUU